UGUGAGUUCAUAGAAGAUAUUGUUUGGUCC
Molecule: non-coding RNA, 30 nt
Filed under: Rattus norvegicus (Norway rat)
Lineage: Eukaryota; Metazoa; Chordata; Mammalia; Rodentia; Muridae
Source: RNAcentral